This is a small nucleolar RNA of Dendrobium catenatum, 96 nucleotides long. RefSeq annotates it as small nucleolar RNA R30/Z108. The record is from RefSeq and is a predicted model, not a curated record. The transcript has a single exon. NCBI's taxonomy places the organism in Eukaryota, Viridiplantae, Streptophyta, Magnoliopsida, Asparagales, Orchidaceae.
UAAUAUUAUGAUAAAAAAGCUCCCUCUUCUGGAAUGUUGUUGAGGACUCUUGCUGGCAGAAUCGAACCAAUUAUUUAAAUGGCCAUCACUGAGUAA